GCGGACGGGUGAGUAACGCGUGGGCAAUCUGCCCGUAGGUGGGGGAUAACACCGAGAAAUUGGUGCUAAUACCGCAUAACAUCAUUGGGAAGCAUUUUCUGAUGAUCAAAGGAGAAAUCCGCUUACGGAUGGGCCCGCGUCUGAUUAGCUAGUUGGUGAGGUAACGGCUCACCAAGGCGACGAUCAGUAGCCGGCCUGAGAGGGUGAUCGGCCACACUGGAACUGAGACACGGUCCAGACUCCUACGGGAGGCAGCAGUGGGGAAUCUUCCGCAAUGGGCGCAAGCCUGACGGAGCAACGCCGCGUGAGUGAGGAAGGCCUUCGGGUCGUAAAACUCUGUCAUCAGGGAAGAAACAAAUGACGGUACCUGAGGAGGAAGCCACGGCUAACUACGUGCCAGCAGCCGCGGUAAUACGUAGGUGGCAAGCGUUGUCCGGAAUUACUGGGCGUAAAGAGCGCGUAGGCGGGGAUUUAAGUCAGGAGUGAAAACUGCCGGCUCAACCGGCAGCCUGCUCUUGAAACUGGAUUUCUUGAGGGUAUGAGAGGAAAGCGGAAUUCCCAGUGUAGCGGUGAAAUGCGUAGAUAUUGGGAGGAACACCAGUGGCGAAGGCGGCUUUCUGGCAUACAACUGACGCUGAGGCGCGAAAGCGUGGGGAGCAAACGGGAUUAGAUACCCCGGUAGUCCACGCCGUAAACGAUGGGCACUAGGUGUAGGAGGUAUUGACCCCUUCUGUGCCGUAGUUAACACAAUAAGUGCCCCGCCUGGGGAGUACGGCCGCAAGGUUGAAACUCAAGGAAUUGACGGGGGCCCGCACAAGCGGUGGAGUAUGUGGUUUAAUUCGACGCAACGCGA
Molecule: ribosomal RNA, 853 nt
Filed under: uncultured bacterium
Lineage: Bacteria
Description: bacterial SSU rRNA
Rfam family: Bacterial small subunit ribosomal RNA
Source: RNAcentral